CCCUCGCGGAUGGAGCUGAAAUCAGUCGAAGAUACCAGCUGGCUGCAACUGUUUAUUAAAAACACAGCACUGUGCAAACACGAAAGUGGACGUAUACGGUGUGACGCCUGCCCGGUGCCGGAAGGUUAAUUGAUGGGGUUAGCGCAAGCGAAGCUCUUGAUCGAAGCCCCGGUAAACGGCGGCCGUAACUAUAACGGUCCUAAGGUAGCGAAAUUCCUUGUCGGGUAAGUUCCGACCUGCACGAAUGGCGUAAUGAUGGCCAGGCUGUCUCCACCCGAGACUCAGUGAAAUUGAACUCGCUGUGAAGAUGCAGUGUACCCGCGGCAAGACGGAAAGACCCCGUGAACCUUUACUAUAGCUUGACACUGAACAUUGAGCCUUGAUGUGUAGGAUAGGUGGGAGGCUUAGAAGUGUGGACGCCAGUCUGCAUGGAGCCGACCUUGAAAUACCACCCUUUAAUGUUUGAUGUUCUAACGUUGACCCGUAAUCCGGGUUGCGGACAGUGUCUGGUGGGUAGUUUGACUGGGGCGGUCUCCUCCUAAAGAGUAACGGAGGAGCACGAAGGUUGGCUAAUCCUGGUCGGACAUCAGGAGGUUAGUGCAAUGGCAUAAGCCAGCUUGACUGCGAGCGUGACGGCGCGAGCAGGUGCGAAAGCAGGUCAUAGUGAUCCGGUGGUUCUGAAUGGAAGGGCCAUCGCUCAACGGAUAAAAGGUACUCCGGGGAUAACAGGCUGAUACCGCCCAAGAGUUCAUAUCGACGGCGGUGUUUGGCACCUCGAUGUCGGCUCAUCACAUCCUGGGGCUGAAGUAGGUCCCAAGGGUAUGGCUGUUCGCCAUUUAAAGUGGUACGCGAGCUGGGUUUAGAACGUCGUGAGACAGUUCGGUCCCUAUCUGCCGUGGGCGCUGGAGAACUGAGGGGGGCUGCUCCUAGUACGAGAGGACCGGAGUGGACGCAUCACUGGUGUUCGGGUUGUCAUGCCAAUGGCACUGCCCGGUAGCUAAAUGCGGAAGAGAUAAGUGCUGAAAGCAUCUAAGCACGAAACUUGCCCCGAGAUGAGUUCUCCCUGACUCCUUGAGAGUCCUGAAGGAACGUUGAAGACGACGACGUUGAUAGGCCGGGUGUGUAAGCGCAGCGAUGCGUUGAGCUAACCGGUACUAAUGAACCGUGAGGCUUAACCUUACAACGCCGAAGGUGUUU
Molecule: ribosomal RNA, 1197 nt
Filed under: Escherichia coli
Lineage: Bacteria; Pseudomonadati; Pseudomonadota; Gammaproteobacteria; Enterobacterales; Enterobacteriaceae
Description: partial 23S ribosomal RNA
Rfam family: Bacterial large subunit ribosomal RNA
Source: RNAcentral